Non-coding RNA from Ciona intestinalis (vase tunicate), 829 nucleotides. NCBI's taxonomy places the organism in Eukaryota, Metazoa, Chordata, Ascidiacea, Phlebobranchia, Cionidae. The record is from RefSeq and is a predicted model, not a curated record.
GAUUGCCAAGAUGCAUAACUUUCCUGGUUUUCUUGUAUAUUUCAACAUCAGAGCAGGCUAUAACAAAAAGAAGUACCAGUAGAAAAAGAUGCCAAAUUUUCAAUUAAGUCUAAUGGGCUAUCCACCAUAAAUAAAUCAGAAUUUUUUCAAAGUCCUCAAGUUUUAUCUCACAGAAGUUGUCUUGCACACAAACGGUAUCAAAAUUUUCAAGGCAACAUUCUUCUGCCUUCUUCAUGAGAUUUUCCAACGAAUAAAGUCGACCAAGGUUGUGGAAAUGACUUCUAUUGCAUGCCUCGCUUUUGAACCUCAACUUUACAGAAUAGAACAUCUAUUUUCAUACUUUUCAUACAGGUAUGUGAUUGACUUUCAUUUUUUCUAUAUGACUAACAGUUUAGGGAACCCCUUAGAUUAGUAAAAGAAUAUAUCAAUUUAUCAAACAGUUUGAUUUGACUUUUUCAUUUCGGAUCCAAAGAUUAUAUACACUUGGUAUUUUUUAGAUUCUUGUAUGGUUGCUAACAAGACAUUAGUGACCAUUAGGUUGGAGCAAUUGCCCUGAAAUGUUUUGCCCAACAUUAAAUACAGUUACUGCUCAUAUCUUUAAAAUGACAGUCGUUAUCAUAUGAACAGAAGGUCGCAUUUGGAACUCACACGAGUUGUAGUUAAAGACCUUUAACUAAUCUUUUAGCGGCUAUUUUGUUAAAAAAGGGAGUCUAUCUCCGAAACUUCGACCGUCAUCCGGCAAGACUUCAUAAUGUAGUCUCGUGGUUUUCAUGCCAGAUGGGUUUACAUUAUGCCUGGUAGCAAAAGUGAGGGCUAAAAUACCUUUGUU